UCGAACGAAACUUCUUUAUCACCGAGUGCUUGCACUCACCGAUAAAGAGUUGAGUGGCGAACGGGUGAGUAACACGUGGGCAACCUGCCCAAAAGAGGGGGAUAACACUUGGAAACAGGUGCUAAUACCGCAUAACCAUAGUUACCGCAUGGUAACUAUGUAAAAGGUGGCUAUGCUACCGCUUUUGGAUGGGCCCGCGGCGCAUUAGCUAGUUGGUGGGGUAAAGGCUUACCAAGGCAAUGAUGCGUAGCCGAACUGAGAGGUUGAUCGGCCACAUUGGGACUGAGACACGGCCCAAACUCCUACGGGAGGCAGCAGUAGGGAAUCUUCCACAAUGGGCGAAAGCCUGAUGGAACAACGCCGCGUGGGUGAAGAAGGUCUUCGGAUCGUAAAACCCUGUUGUUAGAGAAGAAAGUGCGUGAGAGUAACUGUUCACGUUUCGACGGUAUCUAACCAGAAAGCCACGGCUAACUACGUGCCAGCAGCCGCGGUAAUACGUAGGUGGCAAGCGUUAUCCGGAUUUAUUGGGCGUAAAGGGAACGCAGGCGGUCUUUUAAGUCUGAUGUGAAAGCCUUCGGCUUAACCGGAGUAGUGCAUUGGAAACUGGGAGACUUGAGUGCAGAAGAGGAGA
RNAcentral lists this ribosomal RNA (631 nucleotides) under uncultured bacterium. RNAcentral describes it as "bacterial SSU rRNA". It matches the Rfam family "Bacterial small subunit ribosomal RNA", at positions 62 to 660 of the family's 1533-position model. The record is from RNAcentral.